UACGUAGGGUGCGAGCGUUGUCCGGAAUUAUUGGGCGUAAAGAGCUCGUAGGCGGUUUGUCGCGUCUGCUGUGAAAUCCCGAGGCUCAACCUCGGGCCUGCAGUGGGUACGGGCAGACUGGAGUGCGGUAGGGGAGAAUGGAAUUCCUGGUGUAGCGGUGGAAUGCGCAGAUAUCAGGAGGAACACCGGUGGCGAAGGCGGGUCUCUGGGCCGAUACUGACACUGAGGAGCGAAAGCGUGGGGAGCGAACAGG
This 253-nucleotide ribosomal RNA is filed under the name uncultured bacterium. RNAcentral describes it as "partial 16S ribosomal RNA". It matches the Rfam family "Bacterial small subunit ribosomal RNA", at positions 524 to 776 of the family's 1533-position model. The record is from RNAcentral.